AUUUCCGGUUGAUCCUGCCGGAAAUCGAGCCGCGCCUCUUUUCCUUUAACAAUCCGCAUGGUGCGUGCCCGGGCUGCGAUGGCCUCGGCGUAAAGAUGCAUUUCGACGAAGGACUGGUUGUCCCCGAUCCUUCAAAAACGCUAGAGGAAGGCGCGAUUGCGCCGUGGGCUGGCAGCUUCUCGUUCUAUUACAAGCAGGCACUCGAGGCCGUUUCCAAAUAUUACGGCGCUGAUAUGGAGACACCGUUCAAACGCCUUCCAAAAAAAGUCCAGCAGGCGCUGCUUUACGGCUCGGGCGAGGAUUG
RNAcentral lists this ribosomal RNA (304 nucleotides) under uncultured archaeon. Its description in RNAcentral is "partial 16S ribosomal RNA". The record is from RNAcentral.